Non-coding RNA from Odocoileus virginianus texanus, 2016 nucleotides. NCBI's taxonomy places the organism in Eukaryota, Metazoa, Chordata, Mammalia, Artiodactyla, Cervidae. The record is from RefSeq and is a predicted model, not a curated record.
AAUCAACCUUAGUGUUUGCUCUCUCUGAAGACUUUCCUCAGAUCACAGAACAGAUUAGUGUGAUCCACCCUAUCUCCUGUAGACCAUAAUCAGAAUUUUAAGCAAAUCUCUAAGAUAGUUCCUCUCAAAACCCUUGUAAUAAUUUUUGGAUGUUUAUUAGCGUCAACAGACUGAGAUACAGAGAAUAUAUCUGGUUAAGUUCUACAAUUUCAACUAGGAGUACCUUAUAAAUGAAUAUUCUGUGAGUAACAGAUACAGAGUAAAUUGUGGGAUCCUUUAUAUUAGCUUAAUGAUGGAGCUCACAGUAGCAGUAAGUGAGAAUCAACGAGGAGAAAAGUCAGAUAGGAGAGAGACAGACUCAUGUGAGGACUGAGUGCCACAACACCUCAAAGUAAACCGUGAGUUUAGAAAAAUAACCUUAUAAAAAUCUUUCCUUACUCUGAAUUAAUCUCAUAAUUAGUAGAUUCAUUUAAAAAAUCCAUAGGAGCUCCUGAACUCGUCAGCGGAGUUAUUUUAUACAGAAGUCUUGUGAGACCGCUGUGCAAACAAGGCGAUGAUUGUACAGAGUAGUAUUGAAUUCCAGACCUGGAAAAAAUGGUCAUCCAGUGGCAGAAAAUUUCCGAGUAGAAGAAGUAAACUUACCAGAUUGUGUCAAUGAAGGACAAGUACAAGUCAGAACUCUUUAUCUUUCCAUGGAUCCUUACAUGCAUUGUAGAAUGAAUGAAGACACUGGCAGUGACUAUAUAACACCUUGGCAGCUGUCUCAGGUGGUUGAUGGUGGAGGUGUUGGGAUUAUAGAAGAAAGCAAACACACAAAUUUUAUGAAAGGCGAUUUUGUGACUUCCUUCUAUUGGCCCUGGCAAACCAAGGUUAUUCUGGAUGGAAAUAUCCUUGAAAAGGUAGACCCACAGCUUGUGAAUGGACACCUUUCGUACUUUCUUGGAGCUAUAGGGAUGCCUGGUUUGACUUCCUUGAUUGGGGUACAGGAAAAAGGUCAUAUAACUGCUGGAUCUAAUCAGACAACAGUUGUUAGUGGGGCUGCUGGUGCUUGUGGAUGCUUGGCUGGGCAGACUGGCCAUUUGCUGGGCUGUUCCAGAGUCGUGGGAAUUUGUGGAACACCUGAGAAGUGCCUCUUUUUGACCUCAGAAUUGGGUUUCGAUGCUGCAAUUAAUUACAAAGAGGGGAAUGUUGCAGAACAACUCCAUAAAUUAUGCCCAGCUGGAGUGGAUGUUUACUUCGACAAUGUUGGCGGUGACAUCAGUGAUACAGUGAUAAGUCAGAUGAAUCAGAACAGCCACAUCAUCCUAUGUGGUCAGAUUUCUCAGUACAACAAAGAUGUGCCUUAUCCUCCACCACUACCCCCUGCUAUAGAAGCAAUCCAGAAAGAAAGAAACACCACAAGAGGAAGAUUUCUGGUGUGAAAUUAUAAGGAUAAAUUUGAGUCUGGUAUUCUCCAGCUGAGUCAGUGGUUUAAAGAAGGGAAGCGAAAGAUCAAAGAGACCACGAUAAGUGGGCUGGAAAACACGGGAGCUGCAUUCCAGCCCAUGACGACAGGAGGUAACACUGGAAAGCAGAUAGUCUGCAUUUCAGGAGAUACCUCUUUGUAAUCUCCAUAAACAUCUUCAUCAAGGAAAUACAUGGACUUCUUUCCAUUCUGCUGAAAGAUUUCAAGAUAUAUUAAAAAACCCUUAAGAGUAUAGAUAGUUUUUGCUUUCGAUGUGAUAAUAGGUGAUAUUUUCUUAGUUGCACAACAUAAUUCACUCCUAUAUCUUCAAUAUCAUAUAUGUACUCUACAUCCUAUAUGAUUAUUUACAAUAAUAGAUUGAUGUCAAUAUGACCUAUUUUUCCUUCUUUUGCUAAAACUAAUAUUACGUGAAAUUUAUAUCAGAUAUUCAGAAACUGUUGGAGAUUUAAUGUAACUUUAAUAGUUAUUACAUAGUUAAAUAAAAAUAUUUUUAAAUUAAUAUUUUUAUAACUUUAUAAUGUUUGUUUAAAAUAGAAUGCUUGAUAAGACAC